UACGGAGGAUGCAAGCGUUAUCCGGAAUGAUUGGGCGUAAAGCGUCCGCAGGUGGCAGUUCAAGUCUGCUGUCAAAGACCGGGGCUUAACUUCGGAAAGGCAGUGGAAACUGAACAGCUAGAGUAUGGUAGGGGCAGAGGGAAUUCCUGGUGUAGCGGUGAAAUGCGUAGAGAUCAGGAAGAACAUCGGUGGCGAAGGCGCUCUGCUGGACCAUAACUGACGCUCAGGGACGAAAGCUAGGGGAGCGAAUGGG
This 253-nucleotide ribosomal RNA is filed under the name uncultured bacterium. Its description in RNAcentral is "partial 16S ribosomal RNA". It matches the Rfam family "Bacterial small subunit ribosomal RNA", at positions 524 to 776 of the family's 1533-position model. The record is from RNAcentral.